This 497-nucleotide ribosomal RNA is filed under the name uncultured bacterium. RNAcentral describes it as "partial 16S ribosomal RNA". It matches the Rfam family "Bacterial small subunit ribosomal RNA", at positions 28 to 507 of the family's 1533-position model. The record is from RNAcentral.
GAUGAACGCUGGCGGCGUGCCUAAUACAUGCAAGUCGAGCGAACAGACGAGGAGCUUGCUCCUCUGACGUUAGCGGCGGGCGGGUGAGUAACACGUGGAUAACCUACCUAUAAGACUGGGAUAACUUCGGGAAACCGGAGCUAAUACCGGAUAAUAUAUUGAACCGCAUGGUUCAAUAGUGAAGGACGGUUUUGCUGUCACUUAUAGAUGGAUCCGCGCCGCAUUAGCUAGUUGGUAAGGUAACGGCUUACCAAGGCAACGAUGCGUAGCCGACCUGAGGGGGUGGAUGGCCAGCCGGGAACUGAGACACGGUCCAGACUCCUACGGGAGGCAGCAGUAGGGAAUCUUCCGCAAUGGGCGAAAGCCUGACGGAGCAACGCCGCGUGAGUGAUGAAGGUCUUCGGAUCGUAAAACUCUGUUAUUAGGGAAGAACAAAUGUGUAAGUAACUAUGCACGUCUUGACGGUACCUAAUCAGAAAGCCACGGCUAACUACGUG